AUUGCCCAAGCGUUUACAAUUACUCGCGAUUUUUUGGGUAUGUGGAAUCCGUUAACUGUGCAAUCUUCCAUAGAUUCGUGUGGAGCCAUCAAUGGCGCUACAGGAUGAAGUCGCAGGGUUUCCUUGACAACCAUGUCUAGGUAUUCUAGGAUUUCCAAAUCUGAUUCUUCAACCAUUCUUUUUAAGCCCACAAUAUUUUCUAGCUCUCUUUGUAGUUUCUUCAUCACAGCAGGAUGCUUGAUGAGUUCUGAAAGUGCCCACUCGACUACCGUUGGUGAAGUGUCCAUCGCUCCCGCAAGCAUGUCCUGAAAUUGAGGAAACCAUAAAUAAAUGAAGCAGAUGUUUAGGGUUAAAAAUGACUCAUGCAGAUGAUCUUCUAUGGCAUGUAUAUUGCUAUUUAUGUUUACUGGCCAAGAUCAAUUCUGAUAUUAUGUAUCAAUCACAUGUCUAUAUUUACUCAUGUGAAAGCCAACACGAACACUACAACAAACAGUUAUAUCACCGAUGAAAUAUAUCCGAGGGCGUAAAAUACCUUUGAUAAUAAAUACUUUUUCCUAAGGUGUAAGAUGGCCGUCGGAUAAGGAUGAAAAUAUAAUCAAUAUUCCCGAGGGCAAUUUGCCCUUGAUGAUAAUGAAUGCUUUGUCGAAAAUGCUUGCUAGACUUAACUAGAAGCACCCCAAAAUUUACACACUUCGGUCUUUGAAGUAGAGUACUAAAACCACAAGCCCACAGCCAUAACUUCCAAUAAUUUUUUUCUUUGGAGUAGCGUACUUGGCAAAUUUUUUUCUUGUAAAUUUAAUUACUCUUGGUAAAAUUAAAAACCUAAAAGAAUGAAAUACAAAUAAAAAGAGGAAAUAUCGGUUUGCUAAUAAAGUACGUAGAACAUCCAGAGUUUGUUUUAUUUUAAUUUUAUUUAUUAACAACUGCGUUAGGCUAAUCCAGAGAUGGAACAAACAACAUUAUCAUUAAGUGCUAAGGCGAUAGCUUGGAACGGCCAAAAGAUGUUUGGCCCGAUAAGUCACAAGACCAAACUCUUCUGUCAUGUCCAAUUCAGUUGGCAACAUUCCCUCGGGAAGCUCCCAAUCAAAGCAAUGCACCAGCUGUGCGGUCACUUGCUUAACGACGGUGAGUGCCAAUUGCAUUCCAGGGCAAGCCCUGCGGCCAGAACCAAAUGGCAAAAGCUGGAAGUCACGUCCGCGAACAUCAACACUACUCCCAAUAAAUCUUUCCGGAAAAAACUUCUCAGGAUCAUUCCAGGCUUUAGGAUCCCUUCCAAUUGCCCAAGCGUUUACAAUUACUCGCGAUUUUUUGGGUAUGUGGAAUCCAUUAACCGUGCAGUCUUCCAUAGAUUCGUGUGGAGCCAUCAAUGGCGCUACAGGAUGAAGUCGCAGGGUUUCCUUGACAACCAUGUCUAGGUAUUCUAGGAUUUCCAAAUCUGAUUCUUCAACCAUUCUUUUUAAGCCCACAAUAUUUUCUAGCUCUCUUUGUAGUUUCUUCAUCACAGCAGGAUGCUUGAUGAGUUCUGAAAGUGCCCACUCGACUACCGUUGGUGAAGUGUCCAUC
This 1563-nucleotide long non-coding RNA is filed under the name Citrus sinensis (sweet orange). Its description in RNAcentral is "long non-coding RNA (CSIN_LNC004901)". Lineage: Eukaryota; Viridiplantae; Streptophyta; Magnoliopsida; Sapindales; Rutaceae. The record is from RNAcentral.